ACUCUGAGUCAGAUGAGACAUCAAAAGUCAGGUGAGACAACCUUGUUUUGUUAUUGUUUUUUAAACCUAAACUUAACGAUAGCAAAACAACGUAUAUUUUUAACUCAGAAAAACCAAAAGUCCACAAGAGACCACGCUUUAAGUCAAAAUAAUAUUUGUAGAAAGAUUUUUUUCAGUGCCGUUAAGAUUUUUCUUUUUAUUUGAAUGGAUGAGUUUUGAUGUAGGGAAGUAAAAUUUUAAAACACUUACGUAGCUUUAUCUCUUCCUGUUGCUGUACCCGUUCUUUUGGCUGUACGCCUUCUUCUGGCUUCACGCCUUCUUCUGGCUUUGACUUCGACUGUGAGUCAGGUGAGACAACGGCUGGUUUUGACUCUGGCGUCCCGUCAAAUGAGACAACGGUUCGCACAGCACCGAUAAUUAAAAUGAGGCUCAACCCGCGGUACAUGGCGCGAUUGAUUGCGGCCACCUCCAGUGAUUCUCGCCCAACAUUAUUCCCGGUGAGAUCUGCGAACUGCCCUAAUUAGCAUCUGAUGGAAGUAUGCUCCAUAUGUGUUUGGCCGGAGGGUUGCGUGGACCAUCCGUACGGAAGUAUAAAACGGUCAGAGCUCCAGUCAUCGGCACCAUUCGCUCCAGUGCUUCCAGCCUUCAUAACUUCCUCAGCCAGCCACCACCAACACCCCAAAAUCAUCAUGAAAUUCCUUAUCAGCCUCCUCUUCGUGGCCGCCGUCGCCUACGCCGGAGAGACCGAGCUCGUCCGUGAGAAACGCGGAGUCUUCUUCGCCGACGCUCCCUACGCCUACGCCCCGGCCGCUUACCACCACGCCUACGCCGCCCCCGCCUUCGCCCCGGCCGCCUACCACCACGCCUACGCUGCCCCCGCCUUCGCCCCCGCCGCCUACGCCACCGCCUACGCUGCUCCCGCCCCCGUGGUAGCCGCCGCCCCCGCCCCGGUCGCCGUAGCCGCCCCCAGGUCCAGCAUCAUCCAGGCCAACCCAGGCUCCUACUCCGAGCUUACCCAUUUUUACUAGGGAGCUUCGCCGUCGAGCUAGUCAUACUCUUACCACUGGUGAUUCGGAAGGCCAAGCAUGUCGAGGGCUUUCUACGGUUUUGUUUUUGUUAGUGUGACGUUAAUACAAUGUUUUGUGUUUAAUCAACUUGAAUGUUGUCUUUAUUCGUAAGGAUCCCUGCCGGAUGCGAAGCUGAAACCAAAAGACGCAAAACGAAUGGAGAUGUUGCAUGUGUCAGGGAUUUGCGAUUUGACUGUUGAUUCUUAUGCGAAGUUUUGCGAGAAAGACGGUGGUGCCACUGGUUUUCUCUGAUAUCAUCUCCCAAGCUCAAAAAAGCUCUCAAGUUGAGGCCGAAUGGAGGGGAUAUCCCACGCUAUCCUGAGAGUCCACGUCUACAUCAAGACAAACUCUCCGUGCAAAGAUAGGGAGCAAAUACACUGACAGGGCUGCCACUUUAUUUGGGGACUCUAACACUGAAAACACGGCAUUCCUGCUAAUGCAUUUGCUCCAUAUCCUUGCAUGGAGAGUUCGUCUUGAUGUAGAGGUGGACUCUCAGGAUAGCGUUGGAUAUCCCCUCCAUUUUGGCCUCAACUUGGGAGCUUUUUUGAGCUUGGUAGUUGAUUUCAGGGAAAACCAGUGGCACCAUCGUGUUUCUCGCGAACUUUUACAUACGAAUCAAUUGUCAAAUCGCAAAGCCCUCACACAUGCAACAUCUCCAUUGCGGGCCGAACGGCACAGACCUUCUACUUUUACGAGUCGUCUGUGAUUGGCCAAACCGCCUGGCGAUGACUUGUUAGG
Molecule: long non-coding RNA, 1805 nt
Filed under: Bemisia tabaci
Lineage: Eukaryota; Metazoa; Arthropoda; Insecta; Hemiptera; Aleyrodidae
Description: lncRNA ENSSSA2NGG009811
Source: RNAcentral